GGCCUCUCCUAGUGUAGUAAUUCCUCAAUAUCCCUAUAAAUAAAUAAAAAUCAUAAAUUAAUCAUCAAAUGACAAUCACGGCUAUACAAAACUAUAGACGGUGACAAAUUAAGAUCAUACUUUGGUUUUAAUGUUAAAAAAUGUGAUAAGUUUGAAAGCGAGGCACCGUCAUAACGUGUGCUGGUUCGUCCAUGUUUGUAGGCUUCCUCGUUAUGGAGCUUCACGCUUCACUGAAGCCUUCAAUCUCAU
RNAcentral lists this long non-coding RNA (249 nucleotides) under Prunus persica (peach). RNAcentral describes it as "long non-coding RNA (PPER_LNC002837)". The record is from RNAcentral. Lineage: Eukaryota; Viridiplantae; Streptophyta; Magnoliopsida; Rosales; Rosaceae.